Molecule: ribosomal RNA, 989 nt
Filed under: Coptodon zillii (redbelly tilapia)
Lineage: Eukaryota; Metazoa; Chordata; Actinopteri; Cichliformes; Cichlidae
Description: partial 16S ribosomal RNA
Rfam family: Bacterial large subunit ribosomal RNA (bases 188-989)
Source: RNAcentral
UGCCCAACAGCUAGCCCACCCAUCAACCCCAAAUUUACCUUAUUUAUAUCCCCAAACACACCACCACCCAACAAACAAACCAUUUUUCCACCUAAGUACGGGCGACGAAAAAGGAUUUAGGAGCAACAGAGAAAGUACCGCAAGGGAAAGCUGAAAGAGUAAUGAAACAACCCAGUAAAGCACUAAAAAGCAGAGAACACCUCUCGUACCUUUUGCAUCAUGAUUUAGCCAGUAAAUCUUAAGCAAAAAGCAUUAUAGUUUAAUUCCCCGAAACUAAGCGAGCUACUCCAAGGCAGUCUAAUUUAUAGGACCACCCCGUCUCUGUGGCAAAAGAGUGGGAUGAACUUUGAGUAGAGGUGAUAGACCUACCGAGCCUAGUUAUAGCUGGUUGCCCGAAAACUGAAUAGAAGUUCAGCCCUUUAAAUUCUCCCUCCCUGCUGGUUCAAGACCUUAACACCGGACAAAAGAAAUUAAAGGAGUUAGUCAAAGGGGGUACAGCCCCUUUGAAACAAGACACAACUUUCCAAGGAGGAUAAAGAUCACAACAAACUUAAAGGUAAAUGUCUUAGUGGGCCUAAAAGCAGCCAUCUAUUCAGAAAGCGUUAAAGCUCGAGCAUACACAACCAACCUACUAAUAUAGACAGCACAAUCUCACCCCCCUUAAACCUAUCAGGCCGUUCCAUAAAAAUAUGGAAGCGUUUAUGCUAAAAUGAGUAAUAAGAGAAUCCCUUUCUCUCCCCGCACAAGUGUAAAUCGGAACGAACCAUUCACCGACCAUUAACGGCCCCAAAACAGAGAGGGCACUAGGCAAAAAACAAACAACUAGAAAACCACCCAGCCCCCUACCGUUACCCCCACACUGGUGUGCCAACCGGGAAAGACUAAAAGAAAAAGAAGGAACUCGGCAAACACAAGCCUCGCCUGUUUACCAAAAACAUCGCCUCUUGAAACCUAAAAUAUAAGAGGUCCCGCCUGCCCUGUGACUAUAG